CUCGCGGCUAAAGCAGGAAAGUGGCAGGUAAAUCAAGAAAGCGGUCUCGCGUUUUGCAUCUCUCACCUGUCACCCUUUUCCUCCGAGAGAGAGAGACAGAGUGAAGCAAGAAAAGGGUCUCGCACUCUGCACCUCCCAUCGCCGCCGAUGGCAGAAGUAGCAAUUCAUCGCCGCCGAUAGCAACAAGGCUACCCUCUCCAUUGGCAAUGUCCACCACUCCGAUGCUUCCCAAGAGAGCCGUCUAUGCAACAUCGAGCACCAUGCCGGUGACUAUAGUGUUUUCGCUCGAACAUCCAAGGACCACGCUAUCGUCAUCUCCUAUAACCCCGACACUGGAACCAUCAGUGGGAUACUGUUGGGCAGGAAAACUUCAAGGCCAUUUCCAGCAGCUACUACCACAGCACUCAUGGCAUUAUUGAUCGGAAAAUGGGGAGAGUUCUUUGUGGAUCAGCUGAAGAGGGGCUAUACAAAUGACCUGAUGUGCAGGCGCAGCGGCAAAAAGCAGCUCAUGUUGGUCUCAAGUCACCGGUUUCAGUUGUGCAUUCUAUUUUAG
This is a long non-coding RNA of Nymphaea colorata (pocket water lily), 553 nucleotides long. RefSeq lists it as uncharacterized. The transcript is spliced from 3 exons. NCBI's taxonomy places the organism in Eukaryota, Viridiplantae, Streptophyta, Magnoliopsida, Nymphaeales, Nymphaeaceae. The record is from RefSeq and is a predicted model, not a curated record.